RNAcentral lists this ribosomal RNA (237 nucleotides) under uncultured bacterium. RNAcentral's name for it is "partial 16S ribosomal RNA". It matches the Rfam family "Bacterial small subunit ribosomal RNA", at positions 57 to 305 of the family's 1533-position model. The record is from RNAcentral.
GCAAGUCGAACGGAAACGAUGGUAGCUUGCUACCAGGCGUCGAGUGGCGGACGGGUGAGUAACACGUUGGUACAUGCCCCCUAUUCAGGAAUACCUUUGCGAAAGCAAAGUUAAUGCCGGAUACCCCAGCAAUGGGAAAGCGUUUAGCGAUAGGGGAGUGGCCUGCGGCCCAUUAGCUAGUUGGUAAGGUAAUGGCUUACCAAGGCGAUGAUGGGUACCUGGUGUGAGAGCACGAAC